RNAcentral lists this long non-coding RNA (1526 nucleotides) under Sus scrofa (pig). RNAcentral's name for it is "lncRNA (ENSSSCG00055020210.1)". The record is from RNAcentral. Lineage: Eukaryota; Metazoa; Chordata; Mammalia; Artiodactyla; Suidae.
GGUAUACUUUAGUACAUGAAUUUUAUCAGAAGAAUGAUAUCCAUUGAAAUCCUAUCACCGUGUACACAAGGAUCUACUCUGUGGCCUUUAUUUCUCAUGAGAUGAAGAAGAGAAAGACACACUCCCCGUCAGCUCUUUAAAUAGGUGUGGUUAAUACUAAGAAAUAAUGCACAAAAGAAUGGGAAAAUCCUCCACCAGUAAAGGAGAACACCAUUGCUCCUGGAAAGGCAAGGUUUCAACCUGCACUGGUGCUCUGUAUCUUUUGUGUGGCUUCUGAAGGAAGUGGGCAUAGAGAUGGAUGGAUUCAUGCAUAAGCAUUAUCACUGAGUUGUGUCACGGAAAUACAUUAGUACAUGAAUUUUAUCAGAAGAAAGAUAUCCAUUGAAAUCCUAUCACCGUGUAGUAAGACAUCUACCAAAUGGCCUUCAUUUCUCUUCACACUCCCGCUGACUGUUGAAGACUUGUGGUUUAUGCAAUGAAAUAAUGCUGAAAAGAAGGGAAAAAUCCUCCACCAGGAACAGAGAACACCAUUGCUCCUGGAAAGGUGAAGUGUCAAUCUGCACGGGUGCUCUGUAUCUUCUGUGUGGCUUAUGAAACAGGUGGGCAGAGUGAUGGAUGGACUCAUGCAUCAGCAUUAUCCCUGAGGGAUCUACCAUGUGGCCAUUAUUUCUCAUCAGAGAAAGAAGUGAAAGACCCACUCCCUGAUAGCUCUUUAAAGAGUUGUGGUUCAUGCAAUGAAAUAAUGCUGAAAAGAAGGGGAAAAUCCUCCAUGAGGAACAUAGAACACCAUUGUUUCAGGAAAGGUGAAGUGUCAAUCUGCACAAGUGCUGUAUCUUCUGUGUGGCUUAUGAAACAGGUGGGCAGAGAGAUGGAUGGACUCAUGCAUAAGCAUUAUCACCGAGGUGAGUCACGGUGAGUGAAACUAGAGAGGCGGUAAGUAUGGACAGGUUUUCAUACAAAAUUAGUGACCAUGUGCAUGUCAAUUGUUUCCAUUUCAAAAAAGAAAUUCCUGUUGCCUGUGGUGCGAAAGAAUUGUGGAGAGGCUUGCUCUGCCAUUUACCUGGUUGAUUUUUGAGAAGAUUCAUGAAAGAAUAGCCAAUAGUUUUACAUUCUUGAUGUUUUUCUUUUCACUGGCAAUAGACCAACAUAGGCCAAAUGUCGAAAAUCCUUUUGAAUACAAAAGUCCUACUUGCCAGCACUGAGUAGCACUGGUACCAUUUUUAGUCGCAUUUCCUAGAUAGAGAUGUUGUUUGGCCUGUUGAAGGAAAUACAUAUGUCAUAAGUUUUAGGUGGUCUAAGAAGAGGUUUAGUAUAUGGUUUCUUUUUUUUUUAUAUGAUGAUAUUUAUUUUAGUGAAGGCUAAAUAUUUAUUUAUAUAUAUUUUUUUAUUUUCCCACUGUACAGCAAGGGGGUCAGGUUAUCCUUACAUGUAUAUAUUACAAUUACAUAUUUUCCCCACCCUUUCUUCUGUUCCAACAUGAGUAUCUAGAUAAAGUUAUCAAUGCUAUUCAGAAGGAUCCCCUUGUA